GAUCCUGGCUCAGGAUGAACGCUAGCUACAGGCUUAACACAUGCAAGUCGAGGGGCAGCAUUGGAGUAGCAAUACUCAGAUGGCGACCGGCGCACGGGUGAGUAACACGUAUCCAACCUGCCGCUUACUCGGGGAUAGCCUUUCGAAAGAAAGAUUAAUACCCGAUGGUAUAAAGAGUUCGCAUGUUCUCUUUAUUAAAGAAUUUCGGUAAGCGAUGGGGAUGCGUUCCAUUAGAUAGUUGGCGGGGUAACGGCCCACCAAGUCUACGAUGGAUAGGGGUUCUGAGAGGAAGGUCCCCCACAUUGGAACUGAGACACGGUCCAAACUCCUACGGGAGGCAGCAGUGAGGAAUAUUGGUCAAUGGACGAGAGUCUGAACCAGCCAAGUAGGCGUGAAGGAUGACUGCCCUAUGGGUUGUAAACUUCUUUUAUAAGGGAAUAAAGUGAGGGACGUGUCCCUUUUUGUAUGUACCUUAUGAAUAAGGAUCGGCUAACUCCGUGCCAGCAGCCGC
Molecule: ribosomal RNA, 511 nt
Filed under: uncultured bacterium
Lineage: Bacteria
Description: bacterial SSU rRNA
Rfam family: Bacterial small subunit ribosomal RNA
Source: RNAcentral